Heterocephalus glaber (naked mole-rat) is the source of this 915-nucleotide long non-coding RNA. NCBI's taxonomy places the organism in Eukaryota, Metazoa, Chordata, Mammalia, Rodentia, Bathyergidae. The record is from Ensembl.
CCCUGCGGUCCCCUACCCGGAACACCUGGGACAGACUGUCUCCAGUACCCGCCAGCAGGGCGCCAGGAAGUCUCCAUACUUGCUGGCUGUCAGGAUCUGACCCCCGGGGUCCCGACUAGGUGCAAAGGGGACGGUGAGAGGCACAGCUGUCUCCCCCAGCCUAAGCUGCUCAAGCUUCGCCCCAGCGCCCAGCCCUGUUUGGCCCCAAGGGUGACCCCCUCUCCCAGUAGCCAGAGCCUGGCAGGGGGAGACCCCAAGGGUUGAGGUCAGCUGUCACAGCCUCCAGAUUUGGCAGUGGCCCUGAAUUAUCCUGGCACACUCUACCUGCCUUGAACACUGGCAGCGUGACUACACAACACCUUCUCACUUUCCCACAAAUACAUUCUGAAGACUUUCUCAGACCAUCGCACUUCCUCCUGCCUGACCGUCAGAAUGGCUGAGUCUUCUUGACGUCUGUCACUUCAUCACAUCAUGUAUUCACCAAGGUGGCAAAUCCUUGGGCCUUCACAGUACAGCUAGAAGUUGGCCGCCCUGGCUAAGGUUCUUUUUUAUGCAAAUCUCUGUGCUUACCCUUGUUUGGACCAGAUGUGUGCUGACUCCUGCCUUCAAGACACCAGCAACCCUGCUCUGCAGAGAAAGGAGAUAAGCCAAGACUUGUCCAGGGGCGGAGAUGAGCAGUGCCAUGAAAGGGGUCAAAUGGGAAGAGCUGCCAUGGGCUGGUGUGUCCGGAGUGUUUGGGAUGGGAAUAGCCGCUGCGCACGGGGCGUCUCCUGGGUACCAUGUGAUGCUCUGAGCUCUCUAAGCUGCUUACUGUUCACAGUAACCCUAGUUAGGCAGGUCACAUAGUAUCCGCAAUUUCAAAAUAAGAAAAACAAGCCACAAGGAGAUGAAGUAGCUCUCCCAAGGCCACAGAGG